GAGCAGUUGAGCGAGAGAAAGGAGGCGUGAAGUGAUGGUUGAUAUCGUACCGUGAUAGUUUUCUCUUGGCGUGUUUCAUACAGAUUCCUUUUUCGUUGCUUAUUUUAGUGUUACAAUCUAAAUGUUUUUGUAUUUAUUAGUCUUGUUCAUAUGACUCUAUCGAAUACGACCGAAAUAAAAGUAGUUAAAAAGCACAUAUCAACUACCUGGGAUAUUUCCUGACUCUGGAUAGUACAAUAGAUAUGAAGCAUUAUCCAUCCUUUAGGAUCCACAUUUCCAAAACGACUUUCAGUCAAACAUCAGUGAAGUAUUUCCAAAUCGAUCCCAGAGGAGGACAACUGAAGAUAGAUGGAUGAUCAAAUAUCGAAAUAUUAGUCAGGAGUGGUCCGAGCUUAAAGACUGUCAUUAGCCAUCCAUGCUAAUGAUAGCAUAACAACGCAUUUUCAAAGUUUUUCCUGGAGGGGCCUCAAAACAUAACAGCGCCUGUGCCCUCAUAUUGUCGAAAUUCGUCACUGAAGAUAGCAAGUAAUGAAUCGAGGGUUUGA
Molecule: long non-coding RNA, 545 nt
Organism: Argiope bruennichi
Lineage: Eukaryota; Metazoa; Arthropoda; Arachnida; Araneae; Araneidae
Exons: 3
Source: RefSeq, a predicted model, not a curated record